Long non-coding RNA from Gallus gallus (chicken), 362 nucleotides. The record is from Ensembl. NCBI's taxonomy places the organism in Eukaryota, Metazoa, Chordata, Aves, Galliformes, Phasianidae.
CACCAUACAGAGCAGUGCAAGCUGGAGCUGAGGGAGCUGCCCUGGGAUUAAAUUCAUCAUGGAGAACCAACUUGAAGCAGUUUAUGGGUUGGUACGUAGAGUAUGCUUAGGCUGUUUCUUUCCAAAAGAGAAAUGGGUGAUUUUAAAUGCCAUCACAGCCUUCUCUCAUUAGUGUAAGUUAACUUGAGAGUGCUUUUCCAUUCUGAAUGUCAUCACAUGGAGCAGAAAUCACUCAGCAGCACCGCGAGCUCUGAAAGGGUGAAUGAUUUUAAGAUGCUGAUACAUGAAGUCGAGCUGGGGCUGCAUUUUCCAGGAACAAACAGUCCCAUGGAAUGUGUAGUCAUUGCUUGGAGCCGGGAGGC